RNAcentral lists this ribosomal RNA (28 nucleotides) under Lactarius pallidomarginatus. RNAcentral describes it as "partial 18S ribosomal RNA". Lineage: Eukaryota; Fungi; Basidiomycota; Agaricomycetes; Russulales; Russulaceae. The record is from RNAcentral.
GGUAGGUUGACCUGCGGAAGGAUCAUUA